CUGCAUGUCCUCCACCAGCAGCUCCAUACCCAGCACCACCUCCCUCUCCACCACCACUGCCUCCUGCAUGUCCUCCACCAGCAGCACCACCCCCUCCUCCUUCUCCACCACCACCACCUCCUGCAUGUCCUCCACCAGCUGCCCCAUACCCAGCUCCACCUCCUUCUCCACCACCACUACCAUAUCCUGCUCCAUGAUCACCUAGUGCCCCAACAACACCAGUUUCACCCCCUAAGCCUCCUACAAUCCCUCCCUUUACACCAACACCUCCUUCUAGAGCGGCCCCUAGGCCAAGGAGUGUUCUAGCAGCUGAACAUAUGGUUAUACCUACAAAGACAAAGAACACAAUACUAAGAACUCUAAAUGCAGCCAUGGGGAUUGAAUAUGAUAUGUAUUUAGUCACACAACCAUGGAAAGGAAGGCAAAGGAUGAUGGCUAUUUAUAGGGCUUGGGAGGCACUACUAGAAAAACAGAUAAAGAUAGCUUUCAAUUAAUAACAUUUG
This 503-nucleotide long non-coding RNA is filed under the name Aquilegia coerulea. RNAcentral describes it as "long non-coding RNA (ACOE_LNC001489)". The record is from RNAcentral. Lineage: Eukaryota; Viridiplantae; Streptophyta; Magnoliopsida; Ranunculales; Ranunculaceae.